GACGAACGCUGGCGGCGUGCUUAACACAUGCAAGUCGAACGGUGAAGUGCCUUCCUUUUUGGUGGGUGUGGAUGAGUGGCGAACCGGUGAGUAAAACGUGCGUAACCUGCCCCCUUCUCCUGGAUAACCGCAUGAAAGUGCGGCUAAUAAUGGUAAUUCUGGGCCUGUCGCAUGAUGGGUUUGGGAAAGAUAUUGUUUCGGUGGGGGAUGGGCUCGCGGGCUAUCAGCAUGUUGGUGGGGUGAUGGCCUACCAAGGCGGGGAGGGGUAGCCGGCCUGAGAGGGUGGACGGGCACACAGGGGCUGAGAGACAGGCACGAGUCCGAUGGGGGACGGCGGAGUGGAAUAUAGCAGACAGUGCGCGAGCGUGUGGCAGCGCCGCCGCGCGAGGGAUGGGGGCGUCCUAGUGGUGAUCCUCUGUCGCUAGUGAAGGAGACCUGCCUCGUUUGUGGGGGAGUUGACGGUAGCUGAAGAAGAAGCGCCGGCUAACUACGUG
Molecule: ribosomal RNA, 494 nt
Filed under: uncultured bacterium
Lineage: Bacteria
Description: partial 16S ribosomal RNA
Rfam family: Bacterial small subunit ribosomal RNA
Source: RNAcentral